CAGCCGCCGCGGUAAUACGUAGGGUGCGAGCGUUAAUCGGAUUUACUGGGCGUAAAGCGUGCGCAGGCGGCCCGUUAAGACAGGUGUGAAAUCCCUGGGCUCAACCUAGGAAUUGCGCUUGUGACUGGCGGGCUCGAGUACGGUAGAGGGGGGUGGAAUUCCUGGUGUAGCAGUGAAAUGCGUAGAGAUCAGGAGGAACACCGAUGGCGAAGGCAGCCCCCUGGGCCUGUACUGACGCUCAUGCACGAAAGCGUGGGGAGCAAACAGGAUUAGAUCCCCUGGUAGUCCACGCCCUAAACGAUGGGUACUAGCCGUUUGGUGCGCGAGAGCGCUGAGUGGCGAAGCUAACGCGUGAAGUACCCCGCCUGGGGAGUACGGCCGCAAGGUUGAAACUUAAAGGAAUUGGCGGG
Molecule: ribosomal RNA, 410 nt
Filed under: uncultured microorganism
Description: bacterial SSU rRNA
Rfam family: Bacterial small subunit ribosomal RNA
Source: RNAcentral